AUGAGCAUGAAGAAGCGUGAGUUUCGCAACUUUCGCCAAGGAAAUCGUACUGUGGGGCAGUACGUGGAUGAGUUCAGUAAGUUAGCCCGCUAUGCCCCAGAUGAUGUGGCCACAGAUGCCGCUAAGCAGGAGAAGUUUAUGGAAGGGCUGAAUGAUGAGAUGAGUAUGCAGUUCAUGGUGGCAACAUUUAACAACUACCAGGAGUUGGUAGAUAAGGCUCUUAUGAUUGAAGGGAAGCAGCAGCAGAUUGAGAGCCGCAAAAGGAAGUAUGGACAAGGGAAGUACAAUCCAGGAGCUCAGCAGAAGCCUCGUUUUACCCCAAACUCGGGAGGAUAUACCCAUAACCAUGGAGGCCAUACCCACAAUGGAGGAAGUUUGCAUAACCACAGUGGACCCAAGAAUGGAAACGGGAAUGGAGCAGGCAGCAACCAGAACCGCUCUAACCCAGCCACGCCCGCCAAGAAGGAUUUAAGUCACAUUACUUGUUUCAAGUGCGGGAAGACUGGACACUACGCCACCGAGUGUUCUGAAGCAAAGAAUGAAAAUGGCAAUGGAAGCUCUAGGAAGAAGCCCAACCCUUUCAAUAGGGGACAAGUGAACCACGUGAACGUGGAGGAGGUUGAAGAGCAGCUAGAUGCAGUUAUCGGUAAGUUUUUGGUUAAGUCAUUUACCGCUCUCGUUCUUUUUGAUACUGGUGCAUCGCAUUCAUACAUUUCAAGGGGAUUUGUGGAUAAGUAUAAGUUUCCCACCAAAGUUCUUAGGACACCUAUGUUAGUAAGCUCGCCAGGAGCGGAGUAUAUGGCAAGCCAAGGAUGUUUUCAGAUGCCAUUGACCAUAGGUAGGCAUGAUUUCCCAUCAGACUUAAUAAUUCUGGGGCCGCAAGGAUUGGAUGUGAAACUAGGCAUGGAUUGGCUAUCGAUGUAUGGGGGAAACAUCGAUUGCGCAAGUAAGUCAAUUUUACUCACUACACCGGAGGGAAAAAGGAUCAAGUAUGUAUCCAGGCAUGUGCCAAGGAGAACCCAAGUAAAUUCCCUCUUAGGAGUUGUUCAGGAGGAAGUACCCGUAGUAAAGGAUUAUCCGGAUGUAUUUCCAGAGGAACUACCAGGCAUGACGCCGGAUCGAGACAUUGAGUUUUUGAUAGAGCCGUUGCCAGGCACCGGACCAAUAUCGAAGAGACCAUAUCGGAUGCCUGCAAAUGAUCUGGAGGAGAUCAAGAAGCUGAUUGAGUUAUUGGAGAAAGGUUACAUUCGACGAAGUUCGUUACCAUGA
This 1269-nucleotide ribosomal RNA is filed under the name Triticum aestivum (bread wheat). Its description in RNAcentral is "partial small subunit ribosomal RNA". The record is from RNAcentral. Lineage: Eukaryota; Viridiplantae; Streptophyta; Magnoliopsida; Poales; Poaceae.